GAUGAACGCUGGCGGCGUGCCUAAUACAUGCCAGUCGAGCGAACGGACGAGAAGCUUGCUUCUCUGAUGUUAGCGGCGGACGGGUGAGUAACACGUGGAUAACCUACCUGUAAGACUGGGAUAACUUCGGGAAACCGGCGCUAAUCCCGGAUGAUAUUUUGAACCGCGUGGGUCAAAAGUAAAAGUCGGUGUUGCUGUCACUUAUAGAGGGAUCCGCGCUGCAUUAGCUGGUUGGGAAGGUAACGGCUUACCAAGGCAACGAUGCAUAGCCGACCGGAGAGGGUGAUCGGCCACACUGGAACUGAGACACGGUCCAGACUCCUGAGGGAGGCAGCAGUAGGGAAUCUUCCGCAAUGGGCGAAAGCCUGACGGAACAACGCCGCGCGAGUGAUGAAGGUCUUCGGAUCGUAAAACUCUGUUAUUAGGUAAGAACAUAUGUGUAAGUAACUGUGCACAUCUUGACGGUACCGAAUCAGAAAGCCACGGCUAACUACGUG
RNAcentral lists this ribosomal RNA (497 nucleotides) under uncultured bacterium. RNAcentral's name for it is "partial 16S ribosomal RNA". It matches the Rfam family "Bacterial small subunit ribosomal RNA", at positions 28 to 507 of the family's 1533-position model. The record is from RNAcentral.